This is a long non-coding RNA of Cavia porcellus (domestic guinea pig), 2669 nucleotides long. RefSeq lists it as uncharacterized. The transcript is spliced from 6 exons. NCBI's taxonomy places the organism in Eukaryota, Metazoa, Chordata, Mammalia, Rodentia, Caviidae. The record is from RefSeq and is a predicted model, not a curated record.
GAAGUAGAUUGGUAAAAACUUCUUUUGAAGUAUUUUUACUCACAGUUCCCAGGAGAAGGUGGCAUGUGGCAGCACAUGGGAGCAUGCAGAGAACUCAUCUCAUGAGGGACCACCUAGGUUGGUCAGAAGGAAUCCACAGAGUGCAGACGUCUGAUUUCUAUAGGAGAUAAUGAGAGGCAAGAAAAUUCCACGUGCCAUGGAAAAGGGUGUAUAAUCUAUUGUUGCUGGAGGAACACUCUGAAGAUCUGGCCACAUUUUCCUUAAGACUGAAAACUCUUGCAGCAUUUUUGGUAAUGCAAAUUCUAAACCCAAGUUUUCUCAGCUUUCAUUUUUAUGUAUAAGUCAAUUUACAUAGACAAGGUGUGAACAGAAUAUAAGACAGGACGGAAUCAGUUUGCUCCUCCACAUGCUCCCUGCCAUUGCUGCCCAGAGUCCCCACCAGGAGAUUAACAGCAGUAAGUCUGCCCAAUCAUGGACUGAAAACUAUAAAAUGAUCCUGGCUAGAUUGGAAUAUUUUGACCAGAGUUGGAGAAUAGAGUUUCGCUGUGUUUCUUAGAGAUCUUCACACCAGAACCAGUAUUUGCCAACUAGGAGUCAAGGACUAUGGCAGACAGAGGGCCAGAGAUGCAAGAGAGAUGCAACAGCCUAAAGAGACGGAACAGACGAUGUUCUAUGCCAAUAUGUGAAUGCUAGUAAGAAGGUAAGAUUAAUAAUGACUGAAACAAAAAGGAUGUGGAAAGGUCACCUGGUUUUCCAUUCUUCCCGUAAAACCCUGUUUAAAUUAUGUGCUAUAAUUUUUCCUCUUAUUGACUCAGGAAAAUAUUGUAAUUAUUAAUAAUUGUUUUUGUAAAAUACUACUGAAAGGAAUAUGAGUUAAAGGAUAUACAACACUACUAGUACUUAUUUCCUUGACAAAUGAUCCCCUCUAAGUGUGGAAUUGGCUCACAAAUCCUUAACAGAUCAUGCCAUGAAACCACUCUGAUGUGAUUAUACUAGCAAGUGUAAGAAAGCCUACCAUUUCCAACGUCAAUGAAAUACGGGGAUUAGGAUUCUAUAAAGCUCCAGUUUCACAAAAGUAUAAACAGCAAAGUAGAUAAACUGGACUUCAUUAACAUAAAAAAAACCUUGUGGUUCAAAGGACACUAUGGAGAAAGUAAAAAUAAAGAAGUAAUAUUUAAAAAUCAAAUAUCUGAAAACAUACUAAAAUUUUAAACUAACAUAAAAUGAGCUGUUAAAAAAUCAACAAUAAGCCAGCCAUUGCGACACUUGCUAUAAUCCCAGCAUUCAAGAGCCUGAAACAAAAAGACCAGGAGUUCUAAGCCAGUUCAGGCCAGCCUAAAAACUCAACAGUAUAAAGUCAACCCAUUUUUUUAACUGAGAAGAUAGUUUAUCAAAAUGUAUUUUGCACAGAAUACACGUGUCAUUAAUAAGCACAUAAAAAGAUGCCCAACAUUAUCUACUAUGAUUAUGUUCCUCCAAACUUUAGGCUAAAAUUUAACCUCCAGGGUCAUAGCAUAAAGAGGAGAAAUGCUAAGGAAGUGAAUAGACUACAAUGGCUUUUCCCUAAAAAACGAGCCUGGUACCCUUAUAAAAGAGAUGAGAGAGCCUAUACUAUCUUUUACUAAUAAAAGCACGGUAAUAAGGCGUCUUCAACAUCUCCGAAGCAGUGUGCAAGCCCUCACUGGACAUCAAAUCUACCUGGCCCUAGUUUUGUACUUCCCAACCUCCAAAUCUUUGAGAAGUUUCUACUCUUUAUAAUUACCAGUGUCUGAAGGCACAAACAGUGUAAGACCUUCUCCACUAGGUGAAUGUGACGAGACAAUACUGCAUUACCUACGUGGAAGACUACAAUAAAAAAAGAUAAUAUUUUUGUAAAAAUGUGGAGAAAUUAGGAUAUUUACACACCAAUAAUAGGAAUGUAAAUGAUGCAGUCACAUUAGAAAAUAGUCCUUCCAUUCCUAUAAGGGUUAAAAAUUGAAGUAACACAUGAUCCACCAACCACACUUACAAUAUAAGUACACUUACAGCCAAAAAAGUGAAAAGCUGUAUCUGUACCAAUAAAAUGCACAUGAGUGGUCAGGGCAGCAUUACCUGUAGUAGCCAGAAAGUGGAAGUAACAAAGGCCCAAAACUAUUGAACGAAUAAGUAGAAAACGAUAUCCAUACUAUGACAUAACAUUCAGCAGUAAAAAGAAAUGAAGUACACCUGAGCAUUUAUAAAUGGUAGGUGCUGCGAGUAACAUGAACCUGGAAAACAUUAGUCUGCUCAAAGGAAAGCCAACAACAAAGGAAGAAAUACACAUAAUCUCAUCUUUAUGAAAUGUCCACAAUAUACAGAUUCACAGUACCUUAGUAGUUGCCUAGAGAUACAGGGACAGAGAAAUGGGGAAGAGGGAUGAGAGCUAAUGGAUGUGAUAUUUUUCCUUGAGCUGAUGAACAUAUUCUAAAACUGAUUGUGGUGACGGUGGUACAACCCCUUGAAUAUGCCAAAAGCCAUGGAACUGAACAUUUUAAGUGAUGAAUUAUUUCUAUGGUAUGUAAGUUAAGUCUCCAUAAACCUUUUACCAAAAAAAUUAAUAAGAAUCUAGUCUGAAUGUCCACUUUCAUCUGCAACAAAAUUAGUAAUGGUUAAGCACGCUGAUUAUCUAGGCAAGGACUCUGUAUACUAGU